ACUUUUCUUAAUAAUAGAAUAGUAGUUUAUUCUGGAUAAAUAUUGAUAAUGACAAAUUUUAUCUAUAAGACUCGACUAAUGCUCGUGCCAGCAGUCGCGGCAAAACGAGUGAGUCUAGUAUUAGUCAUCUUUAUUAGGUAUAAAGGGUACCUAGACAUCAUAUACAAGUUAAGCUUACAAAUAUGAUAGAGUUUUUAUGUAAGAGGUUUAAAUAGUACUAUUAGAGGAGAGUAAUAAUUCAAUUAUACUAAUAUGGACUGGUAAAAGUGUAGACAAUCCUUUAUGUAUAAACUGACGUUGAGGGACGAAGGCUUGAAUAUAACGAAAAGGAUUAGAGACCCUUGUAGUUCAAGGAGAAAAAGAUGGAUGCCAUACAUAGGAAAAUAUAUCUGUGUAUAAAUGAAAGUGCAAGCAUCCCACCUCAUGAGUAUAGCGGCAACGCCGAAAUUGAAACCAUUAGACCGUAUUUGAAAUCAGUAGUGAAGUACGAUAUUUAAUUCGAUGAUCCACGAAAAAUCUUACCAAAAUUUGAAUAGUUUAUGUUAUAAUUUAUUAUGAUAUUUACAAGUGUUGCACGGCUGUUUCCAGCUGAUGUCCUGAGAAAAAAAGCAUCUACACCAGGUAUUACUCAUACCCGUAGAUUAUUAAUCAGUUAAAUUCCUUUACGUUUAUUUAUUAUUAAUAAGUUUUAUUAUUUCAACAGAAAUAAUCGCUAAUUUAUAUUACAUAAUUGUAAUGUAGAUUAUUUAUAAGCAAA
Molecule: ribosomal RNA, 757 nt
Filed under: Buelliella poetschii
Lineage: Eukaryota; Fungi; Ascomycota; Dothideomycetes; Asterinales; Stictographaceae
Description: mitochondrial SSU rRNA
Rfam family: Bacterial small subunit ribosomal RNA
Source: RNAcentral